GAUGAACGCUGGCGGCGUGCCUAACACAUGCAAGUCGAACGAAGCGUCUUAAAGGAAGUUUUCGGAUGGAAUUUGGGAUGACUGAGUGGCGGACGGGUGAGUAACGCGUGGAUAACCUGCCUCAUACAGGGGGAUAACAGCUAGAAAUGGCUGCUAAUACCGCAUAAGCGCACAGUGCCGCAUGGCAGUGUGUGAAAAACUCCGGUGGUAUGAGAUGGAUCCGCGUCUGAUUAGCCAGUUGGCGGGGUAACGGCCCACCAAAGCGACGAUCAGUAGCCGGCCUGAGAGGGCGACCGGCCACAGUUGGGACUGAGACACGGCCCAA
Molecule: ribosomal RNA, 325 nt
Filed under: uncultured bacterium
Lineage: Bacteria
Description: bacterial SSU rRNA
Rfam family: Bacterial small subunit ribosomal RNA
Source: RNAcentral